CCCCUAGAUGUUCUGGGCCGCACGCGCGCUACACUGAACAGUUCAACAAGUCUUAACCUUGGCCGAUAGGUCUGGGUAAUCUUUGAACGCUGUUCGUGAUUGGGAUAGACCUUUGCAAUUAUGGGUCUUCAACGAGGAAUUCCUAGUAAACGCAAGUCAUCAGCUUGCAUUGAUUACGUCCCUGCCCUUUGUACACACCGCCCGUCGCACCUACCGAUUGAAUGGUCCGGUGAAGACUCGGGAUCGUGGCUUAGUUGCUUAAUUGUGAUUAGACCGUGAGAACCUGUCUAAACCUUAUCAUUUAGAGGAAGGUGAAGUCGUAACA
This 325-nucleotide ribosomal RNA is filed under the name uncultured eukaryote. RNAcentral describes it as "partial 18S ribosomal RNA". It matches the Rfam family "Eukaryotic small subunit ribosomal RNA", at positions 1470 to 1796 of the family's 1831-position model. The record is from RNAcentral.